UACGAAGGGGGCUAGCGUUGCUCGGAAUCACUGGGCUUAAAGGGCGCGUAGGCGGGCUCGCAGGUCAGGGGUGAAAGCCCACGGCUCAACCGUGGAAGUGCCUUUGAUACCGUGAGUCUCGAGGGAGGUAGGGGCGUGCGGAACUUCCGGUGGAGCGGUGAAAUGCGUAGAUAUCGGAAGGAACAUCGGUGGCGAAAGCGGCGCGCUGGACCGCUUCUGACGCUGAGGCGCGAAAGCCAGGGGAGCAAACGGG
Molecule: ribosomal RNA, 253 nt
Filed under: uncultured bacterium
Lineage: Bacteria
Description: partial 16S ribosomal RNA
Rfam family: Bacterial small subunit ribosomal RNA
Source: RNAcentral